RNAcentral lists this ribosomal RNA (220 nucleotides) under uncultured bacterium. RNAcentral describes it as "partial 16S ribosomal RNA". It matches the Rfam family "Bacterial small subunit ribosomal RNA", at positions 15 to 217 of the family's 1533-position model. The record is from RNAcentral.
GAUCAUGGCUCAGGAUGAACGCUGGCGGCGUGCUUAACACAUGCAAGUCGAACGGAACGCCAAGGAAAGAGUUUUCGGACAAUGGAAUUGGUUGUUUAGUGGCAGACGGGUGAGUAACGCGUGAGUAACCUGCCUUGGAGUGGGGAAUAACACAGUGAAAACUGUGCUAAUACCGCAUGACAUAUUGGUGUCGCAUGGCACUGAUAUCAAAGAUUUAUCG